This is a long non-coding RNA of Polyodon spathula (Mississippi paddlefish), 269 nucleotides long. RefSeq lists it as uncharacterized. The transcript has 3 exons. The record is from RefSeq and is a predicted model, not a curated record. NCBI's taxonomy places the organism in Eukaryota, Metazoa, Chordata, Actinopteri, Acipenseriformes, Polyodontidae.
UGUUUCUCUCUCCUCUUCUUUCAGGGUCCACGCGGUCUCCCCGGCGAGAGAGGGCGUAAUGGACCUGCUGGUGCUGCUGGUGCUCGUGGUAACGAUGGUCUGCCUGGUCCCGCUGGUCCUCCUGGCCCCGUGGGUCCCGCCGGUGCUCCAGGCUUCCCCGGAUCUCCAGGUUCUAAGGUAUGUGUUGGCUCAGGCAGAACCCGCCUGUAGAGCUGCAGAGAGGGAGCAGAAACAGCCAGUGAACCCCCCCCCGAGAGCUUUCACUGCCU